RNAcentral lists this ribosomal RNA (223 nucleotides) under uncultured bacterium. RNAcentral's name for it is "partial 16S ribosomal RNA". It matches the Rfam family "Bacterial small subunit ribosomal RNA", at positions 111 to 334 of the family's 1533-position model. The record is from RNAcentral.
UAACGCGUGAGGAACCUGCCUUGAAGAGGGGGACAACAGUUGGAAACGACUGCUAAUACCGCAUGAAGCAUAGGGGUCGCAUGAUCUUUAUGCCAAAGAUUUAUCGCUUCAAGAUGGCCUCGCGUCUGAUUAGCUAGUUGGCGGGGUAACGGCCCACCAAGGCGACGAUCAGUAGCCGGACUGAGAGGUUGAACGGCCACAUUGGGACUGAGAUACGGCCCAG